AUGGUUAAGUUAGAAAGGGCGCACGGUGGAUGCCUUGGCACUAGGAGCCGAUGAAGGACGGGACGAACACCGAUAUGCUUCGGGGAGCUGUAAGCAAGCUUUGAUCCGGAGAUUUCCGAAUGGGGAAACCCACUGCUCGUAAUGGAGUAGUAUCCAUACUUGAAUACAUAGAGUAUGAGAAGGCAUACCCGGGGAACUGAAACAUCUAAGUACCCGGAGGAAGAGAAAGCAAAUGCGAUUCCCUGAGUAGCGGCGAGCGAAACGGGAACAGCCCAAACCAAGAGGCUUGCCUCUUGGGGUUGUAGGACACUCUAUACGGAGUUACAAAGGAACGAUAUAAGCGAAGAGGUCUGGAAAGGCCCGCCAAAGAAGGUAACAGCCCUGUAACUGAAAUGUUGUUCUCUCCAGAGUGGAUCCUGAGUACGGCGGAACACGUGAAAUUCCGUCGGAAUCCGGGAGGACCAUCUCCCAAGGCUAAAUACUCCCUAGUGACCGAUAGUGAACCAGUACCGUGAGGGAAAGGUGAAAAGCACCCCGGAAGGGGAGUGAAAUAGAUCCUGAAACCGUGUGCCUACAAGUAGUCAGAGCCCGUUAACGGGUGAUGGCGUGCCUUUUGUAGAAUGAACCGGCGAGUUACGAUCCCGUGCAAGGUUAAGCAGAAGAUGCGGAGCCGCAGCGAAAGCGAGUCUGAAUAGGGCGCAUGAGUACGUGGUCGUAGACCCGAAACCAGGUGAUCUACCCAUGUCCAGGGUGAAGUUCAGGUAACACUGAAUGGAGGCCCGAACCCACGCACGUUGAAAAGUGCGGGGAUGAGGUGUGGGUAGGGGUGAAAUGCCAAUCGAACCUGGAGAUAGCUGGUUCUCUCCGAAAUAGCUUUAGGGCUAGCCUCAAGGUAAGAGUCUCGGAGGUAGAGCACUGAUUGGACUAGGGGCCCCUACCGGGUUACCGAAUUCAGUCAAACUCCGAAUGCCGAUGACUUAUCCUUGGGAGUCAGACUGCGAGUGAUAAGAUCCGUAGUCGAAAGGGAAACAGCCCAGACCGCCAGCUAAGGUCCCAAAGUAUACGUUAAGUGGAAAAGGAUGUGGAGUUGCUUAGACAACCAGGAUGUUGGCUUAGAAGCAGCCACCAUUUAAAGAGUGCGUAAUAGCUCACUGGUCGAGUGACUCUGCGCCGAAAAUGUACCGGGGCUAAACGUAUCACCGAAGCUGCGGACUGUUCUUACGAACAGUGGUAGGAGAGCGUUCUAAGGGCUGUGAAGCCAGACCGGAAGGACUGGUGGAGCGCUUAGAAGUGAGAAUGCCGGUAUGAGUAGCGAAAGACGGGUGAGAAUCCCGUCCACCGAAUGCCUAAGGUUUCCUGAGGAAGGCUCGUCCGCUCAGGGUUAGUCGGGACCUAAGCCGAGGCCGAAAGGCGUAGGCGAUGGACAACAGGUUGAUAUUCCUGUACCACCUCCUCACCAUUUGAGCAAUGGGGGGACGCAGGAGGAUAGGGUAAGCGCGGUAUUGGAUAUCCGCGUCCAAGCAGUUAGGCUGGGAAAUAGGCAAAUCCGUUUCCCGUAAAGGCUGAGCUGUGAUGGCGAGCGAAAUUUAGUAGCGAAGUUCCUGAUUCCACACUGCCAAGAAAAGC
Molecule: ribosomal RNA, 1626 nt
Filed under: Bacillus sp. AM 13(2015)
Lineage: Bacteria; Bacillati; Bacillota; Bacilli; Caryophanales; Bacillaceae
Description: bacterial LSU rRNA
Rfam family: Bacterial large subunit ribosomal RNA
Source: RNAcentral